CGUGUAGGCGUCCUGAUAAGUCAGAUGUGGAAGCCUUGGGCUUAACCCAAGAAGUGCAUUUGAAACUGUCAGGAUUGAGUCGUGCAAGGGAGGGCGGAAUUCCUGGUGUAGCGGUGAAAUGCGUAGAUAUCAGGAGGAAGGCCGGUGGUGAAGACGGCCCUCUAGGCAAUGACUGACGCUGAGGCGCGAAAGCGUGGGGAGCAAACAGGAUUAGAUACCCUGGUAGUCC
RNAcentral lists this ribosomal RNA (229 nucleotides) under uncultured bacterium. RNAcentral's name for it is "partial 16S ribosomal RNA". It matches the Rfam family "Bacterial small subunit ribosomal RNA", at positions 568 to 796 of the family's 1533-position model. The record is from RNAcentral.